This is a non-coding RNA of Brachypodium distachyon (stiff brome), 136 nucleotides long. Lineage: Eukaryota; Viridiplantae; Streptophyta; Magnoliopsida; Poales; Poaceae. The record is from Rfam.
CUAAUACUCCCUCUGUCCAACAAAAGAUGUCUCAAGUUUGUCAAAAUUUGGAUAUAUCUAGACAUGACUUAGUAUAUAGAUCCAUUCAAAUUUAGUCAAAGUUGAGACAUCCUUUGUUGGACGGAGGGAAUACAAC